AUGGGAAUGGUCACAUGCCUACAAACCUUGCUGAACAGGGGACAUUGAAGGGCACUCUUGUGUGCUACAUCGCCAGGGUGCAAUCCUUUGGUGCUCACCACAUCCUCAAAUGGUCACUGAUGAGAUGCACGGAUAAUGGGUUACAAAGACAGACAUUAAUAAGGCCAGUUGAUCCUUUACUUCUAUUGCCAUGGCAGCAACAGCACUGGAGGAGAGAGAACAAAAAUUAAUUCACCUGCACUACCCCCGGAGGUACUUGAAACCACAGGACAUCAUUUUCUUCAGGGAUUUUAGUGCAUCUUCUAAUCUACUGGUUAACAGAUAAAGCUAAAUACAUAUUGAAAAGGUUCCUAAAUUAUAAAGACGACAACCCCUUUGUGAUCUUGACAAUAGAGAAUUCAACCAGUGGGGAAGCCAUCCUGGAUCUUCUACUUACCCAUAAGGAGGCAUUGAUAAAGAACACAGUAAUAUUUGCACUUCUGUAGUGCUUUCCAUCGGAGCCUCUCCAAUCUCUUGGCAAGCAUUAAUGCAUUCAGCCUUACAGCACCCAUGUGAGAAAGGUAAUAGGGUACCAGUGGCCAUGAGCUUUUUGAAUUUAGCAUAGUAAAGAAUAAGUUCACAGGAUGCAGCAGUGCAAGGAUAAUAGAUUUCAGGAAGGCAUAGUUUGGGGAAUUAAGAAAUCUAGUGAGUGAGUGAGACGAGAUGGUGGGAAUGUUAAAUUUACUAGUGUGGAAGAAAGAUGGAGAAUCCUGGAAGACAUCAGAAUUAAGGCAUAUCAGACCAUAAAUCCUCAGAAAAAGAAGAAGAUGGGAUAUUGAAUGGGUUCAGCAG
Long non-coding RNA from Mauremys reevesii (Reeves's turtle), 831 nucleotides. RefSeq lists it as uncharacterized. NCBI's taxonomy places the organism in Eukaryota, Metazoa, Chordata, Testudines, Geoemydidae. The transcript is spliced from 3 exons. The record is from RefSeq and is a predicted model, not a curated record.